Molecule: long non-coding RNA, 2474 nt
Organism: Nylanderia fulva
Lineage: Eukaryota; Metazoa; Arthropoda; Insecta; Hymenoptera; Formicidae
Source: RefSeq, a predicted model, not a curated record
GUGGGUACAUCAGCGGAUAGAGUUGCGGACGUUUGCGAUUAAAAAAAAGGUAUUGUUCUUCUUUUAACAAAUCAAUCUUAAGGAUGGAUCACAAAAGAUAUGUUCAAGAAUUUGAUCAGUCUUGGGAAGUUAAUUAUUUCUUCGGUUACAUUUCCGAUCGAACGGUUUGUUUACUUUGCGGUUUUGAACCUUCGAAGAACUAUGAAUACCGCCCAUACUUUCCUCUUCAAUUCUCACUACAUAGCCGAUUAGAUGAUUAGAAAAAGAAAGUAAUAAAUGUUGGUGCAAUCAGGUCCCUUAGGCUGGAGUUCCAUAGGCUGGGUCCCUUAGCCUGGAGUCCCAUAGAGCGGAUUACUAAUCACGGGAUCGCUCCGAUAGUGCCCUUUCAAAGAUCCAAAAGAAACGAUCUUGUGAUUGGCGAUCCGCUGAUUCCGCUUCCGCGUAAUCCGCUCCAUGGGACUUCAGCCUUAGUCAGGGACGCACGCAAGGUGAGGGUAUCUGUCAUAUUUGGAUAUUAAAUAUUUGUAAGUUACGAAAUUUUGCCCUUUUUACGAUACGAUUUUUACCAAAUAUGAAAGAACUCGAAUGUUGUCAACGUGAAAUAAGUAGAUGUAUGUAAUAAUGACACAUUAUAUUUAGAAUGUAAUUAUUGCUAGAAAUAAUGUGGAUGGUGUGCCUGCAAAACAGUUCUGGGAUAAUUAUUGUGGGAUAACAAUAAUAUAAAAUGUUUUUAAGCAUUGUUUCUUACUAUUUAUGAAACUUGAAGGAAGCCUGAAUUAUUAUGAUGCUAACUACACAGCAGAAGACAAUAAUAAAUAAAUGAUAAUCCGCAAACCAUGUUGCAUCGAAUGUCAAAAAGGAAUUCAUUACAAAGCAUGAGAAUCUUUUAAGCGAGAACUUAAUAUAUAGUCUCCGCUAAUAGAAUCUUAUGAUCUAUGAUGGAAUUGUCAACGCUUAUUAUUAUAUUUGCAAAAAUUCGUGAAGUAUUAACGAUUUCAUAUUGUUGAUAUGUUAAAAGAUUGAAAGACAAACUUGCUAUUUAGUUUGGGAAUGUCAAGAAAGGUAGUGUUUAAUAGCGAAUUCGAUUGGAUACACUAGUGCGCACUGAAUGCAAUAAAGGUUUAUCACACACAAGUUCACAAUGACACAAGUAAUUAAAAAAGGAAAAUAAUUAAUAGUAAUUAAAAGCUGUUAUUAUUGAUGUUCAAUAUGAAUAAUGACAAUACCCAUUAAACACUAAUAGCGAAUUCGAUUAGAUGCACUAAUGCAUAUAAAGGUUUAUCACACACAAGUUCACAAUGACAAAAGUAAUUAAAAAAAGAAAAUAAUUAAUAGUAAAAGCUAUUAUUAUUGCUGUUUAAUAUGAAUAAUGAUAAUAAUAGCUCUUAUACUAUUAAUUAUUUUACUUCUUUAAUUACUUAUGUCCUUGUAAAAUUGUGUGCAAUAAUCUUUAUGUGCACUCAGUGCGCACUAUAGUGCAUCCAACCGAAUUCGCUAUAAGUAACAGUAAUAUAACAUCAAUAUUAUAAUUUUUCACUCAACAAUGUAACGGUAAUAUAACAUGCCUUGUAAUGCAUCAGUUACAUUGUUAAGUAGGAAAUUAUAACAUCAAUGUUAUAUUAUUGUUACUUAGUGUUAAUUAGUGAGUAAUACCUCUUACUAUAUUAAUUAUUUUACUUUUUUCAAUUACUCAUGUCAUUGUAAAAUUGUGUGCAAUAACCUUUAUAUGCACUCAGUGCGCACUAGUGCAUACAACCGAAUUCGCUAUUACAUACUUAAAGGCACGAUAUUGUAUUAUGUAUGUAUAUUAUAUGUAUGUUAUGUAUAGGUAUGUAUUCUGCAUCAUAAGAUAAAAAUCUUAUAAUAUUUUGUUAUUAAUCAAUUAAUCAAAUGUACAUUAAUUUGGACUCUGUAUUUAAACAUAGAGUUUCUAGAAAUAAAUCUGUAUCAUUAAUUAUAAAUUAUAUUUGAAAUGAUUAUACAUACGGAUUGACAUGUAUAUAUACCGUCUCACAUAACAGUGUUAUUCUUUCUAAAGGGUACAUGUCAUAUCUAAUUGCAGCAUGUUUGUUAUCUAUUACAAAAGAAAACUCCUUUAACAUUUUGUUCUUAGUCGAUAUUUCAACUUUACAAUUUUAUUGAAGCGUAUAUAUAAGCACAUUAUUUUUCAUAAUCUUGUAUUAAUGUAAUUAUAUUUGUAAUAGUUAUACUUAAAGGUUUACAUGUACGUACAAUCUUAUAUAAUACAUAUAUAUAUAUAUAUAUAUAUAUAUAUAUAUACUAAUCUAGUACAAAUACCACAUACAAAUAUCAAUUUCUAUACAUCAAGUAUACAAUAUAUAUGCGACACUAUAUAAGUUAUAAGAAUAUAUUAAGAUAUACGGGCGCAUGAGUGAGUACAUAAAAAACUUCUUUUGCAUUGAAGAUUGAAAUUGUACAAUAUUUUAUCAAUUAGAACAAAAAAGCAAAUAUUU